GAUGAAGAACGUAGCGAAAUGCGAUAAGUAAUGUGAAUUGCAGAAUUCAGUGAAUCAUCGAAUCUUUGAACGCACAUUGCGCCCGCCAGUAUUCUGGCGGGCAUGCCUGUUCGAGCGUCAUUUCAACCAUCAAGCCCUGCUUGCGUUGGGGUCCUGCGGCUGCCCGCAGGCCCUGAAAACCAGUGGCGGGCUCGCUAGUCACACCGAGCGCAGUAAUACAUCUCGCUUUGGGCGUGCGGCGGGUUCUUGCCGUUAAACACCCCCUUUUUACCAAGGUUGACCUCGGAUCAGGUAGGAAUACCCGCUGAACUUAAGCAUAUCAAAAGGGGAGGA
Molecule: unclassified non-coding RNA, 333 nt
Filed under: soil metagenome
Description: partial contains 5.8S ribosomal RNA, internal transcribed spacer 2, and large subunit ribosomal RNA
Rfam family: 5.8S ribosomal RNA (bases 1-120)
Source: RNAcentral